GUCCUCGUAGCUUAACCACCAAAGCAUGGCACUGAAGAUGCCAAGAUGGUCGUUGUCCAACUACCCGACGACA
RNAcentral lists this transfer RNA (73 nucleotides) under Eurypyga helias (sunbittern). RNAcentral describes it as "tRNA-Phe". It matches the Rfam family "tRNA". Rfam says of the family: Transfer RNA (tRNA) molecules are approximately 80 nucleotides in length. Their secondary structure includes four short double-helical elements and three loops (D, anti-codon, and T loops). Lineage: Eukaryota; Metazoa; Chordata; Aves; Eurypygiformes; Eurypygidae. The record is from RNAcentral.